This 450-nucleotide ribosomal RNA is filed under the name uncultured bacterium. Its description in RNAcentral is "bacterial SSU rRNA". It matches the Rfam family "Bacterial small subunit ribosomal RNA", at positions 354 to 796 of the family's 1533-position model. The record is from RNAcentral.
GUGGGGAAUAUUGGACAAUGGGCGCAAGCCUGAUCCAGCCAUACCGCGUGAGUGAAGAAGGCCCUCGGGUUGUAAAGCUCUUUUGUUGGGAAAGAAAUCCUGUUGGUUAAUACCUGGCAGGGAUGACGGUACCCAAAGAAUAAGCACCGGCUAACUUCGUGCCAGCAGCCGCGGUAAUACGAAGGGUGCAAGCGUUACUCGGAAUUACUGGGCGUAAAGCGUGCGUAGGUGGUUGUUUAAGUCUGUCGUGAAAGCCCUGGGCUCAACCUGGGAAUUGCGAUGGAUACUGGGCGACUAGAGUGUGGUAGAGGGUGGCGGAAUUCCCGGUGUAGCAGUGAAAUGCGUAGAGAUCGGGAGGAACAUCCGUGGCGAAGGCGGCCACCUGGGCCAACACUGACACUGAGGCACGAAAGCGUGGGGAGCAAACAGGAUUAGAAACCCUGGUAGUCC